AACCCGAAAGAUCGAAUGGGGAGAUUCAUCGUCAGCGAGCCUUGGCGCGUGUACGGUUCGCGAUGCUCUGGGGAUUUCGGUCCCUCGGCACGCGUCCGUAUGGUUCUUUGCCAGGUUUCGUCGGCGUGCACUUCUCCCCUAGUAGGACGUCGCGACCCGUUGGGUGUCGGUUUACGGCCCGGGUGGGUGCCUGUCAUGCGUUUAGCUUAACGGCGACACGUGGCAGACCCCCGGUUGUCUGACCAGCUGCUCGGCGGUACUCGCAUGGUAUCGAGCCGCAAAUAUUCGAACUGCGUCCGAACCGCCGCAAGCCUGGCCAGUGUUUCCCGGAUGGUACGGAUCUAGCGCCGUCACCGGGCCUGGCCGGCUGUUGGCCGGCGGUUUUCUUGGACAGGCUCUUGAUUUAUGAAUACCGGUCGGCGACGCUACUGCUUUGGGUACUUUCAGGACCCGUCUUGAAACACGGACCAAGGAGUCUAACAUGUGCGCGAGUCAUUGGGAGCUUGUUAAGCCCAAAGGCGCAAUGAAAGUGAAGAUCCGGCCUUGCGUCGAUCGAGGGAGGAUGGGCCGCUUAGUUAAUGGCGGCCCCGCACUCCCGGGGCGUCUCGUUCUCAUCGCGAGAGGAGGCGCACCCAGAGCGUAUACGUUGGGACCCGAAAGA
RNAcentral lists this ribosomal RNA (661 nucleotides) under Metopius sp. BF000955. Its description in RNAcentral is "eukaryotic LSU rRNA". It matches the Rfam family "Eukaryotic large subunit ribosomal RNA", at positions 574 to 823 of the family's 3401-position model. Lineage: Eukaryota; Metazoa; Arthropoda; Insecta; Hymenoptera; Ichneumonidae. The record is from RNAcentral.